Molecule: transfer RNA, 91 nt
Filed under: Planctomycetota bacterium
Lineage: Bacteria; Pseudomonadati; Planctomycetota
Description: Planctomycetes bacterium (bioreactor metagenome) tRNA-Ser
Rfam family: tRNA
About the family: Transfer RNA (tRNA) molecules are approximately 80 nucleotides in length. Their secondary structure includes four short double-helical elements and three loops (D, anti-codon, and T loops).
Source: RNAcentral
GGAGAGGUGACCGAGCGGCUCAAGGAGCUCGCUUGGAAAGCGAGUACAGCCCACAAGGCUGUCGGGGGUUCGAAUCCCCCCCUCUCCGCCA